ACUGACCCUUGAGGCAUUGCAGGCGUGGCUUCUGUGUGUCAUGUGUGUCGCUAGGUGGCAGAGGAGAGGCUAUGUCUACCCUUAAUGUCCUGACCUAUGAACGUCUGAAUAGUUUAUUCCCUGAAAA
This is a small nucleolar RNA of Apodemus sylvaticus (European woodmouse), 127 nucleotides long. RefSeq annotates it as small nucleolar RNA SNORA17. The record is from RefSeq and is a predicted model, not a curated record. Lineage: Eukaryota; Metazoa; Chordata; Mammalia; Rodentia; Muridae. The transcript has a single exon.